RNAcentral lists this ribosomal RNA (425 nucleotides) under uncultured bacterium. RNAcentral describes it as "partial 16S ribosomal RNA". It matches the Rfam family "Bacterial small subunit ribosomal RNA", at positions 354 to 796 of the family's 1533-position model. The record is from RNAcentral.
GUGGGGAAUCUUGCGCAAUGGGCGAAAGCCUGACGCAGCCAUGCCGCGUGAAUGAUGAAGGUCUUAGGAUUGUAAAAUUCUUUCACCGGGGACGAUAAUGACGGUACCCGGAGAAGAAGCUCCGGCUAACUUCGUGCCAGCAGCCGCGGUAAUACGAAGGGGGCUAGCGUUGCUCGGAAUUACUGGGCGUAAAGGGCGCGUAGGCGGACAGCUUAGUCAGAGGUGAAAGCCCAGGGCUCAACCUUGGAAUUGCCUUUGAUACUGGCUGUCUUGAGUUUGGGAGAGGUGAGUGGAACUCCGAGUGUAGAGGUGAAAUUCGUAGAUAUUCGGAAGAACACCAGUGGCGAAGGCGACUCACUGGCCCAAUACUGACGCUGAGGCGCGAAAGCGUGGGGAGCAAACGGGAUUAGAAACCCUAGUAGUCC